UGGGGAAUAUUGGGCAAUGGGGGAAACCCUGACCCAGCAACGCCGCGUGAAGGAAGAAGGCUUUCGGGUUGUAAACUUCUUUUACCAGGGACGAAGAAAGUGACGGUACCUGGAGAAUAAGCCACGGCUAACUACGUGCCAGCAGCCGCGGUAAUACGUAGGUGGCGAGCGUUGUCCGGAUUUACUGGGUGUAAAGGGCGCGUAGGCGGGAGUACAAGUCAGAUGUGAAAUGCCAGGGCUUAACCCUGGAGCUGCAUUUGAAACUGUAUUUCUUGAGUGAUGGAGAGGCAAGUGGAAUUCCUAGUGUAGCGGUGAAAUGCGUAGAUAUUAGGAGGAACACCAGUGGCGAAGGCGGCUUGCUGGACAUUAACUGACGCUGAUGCGCGAAAGCGUGGGGAGCAAACAGG
Molecule: ribosomal RNA, 407 nt
Filed under: uncultured prokaryote
Also listed under: 1 other name
Description: bacterial SSU rRNA
Rfam family: Bacterial small subunit ribosomal RNA
Source: RNAcentral